This 434-nucleotide ribosomal RNA is filed under the name uncultured Clostridium sp. Its description in RNAcentral is "partial 16S ribosomal RNA". It matches the Rfam family "Bacterial small subunit ribosomal RNA", at positions 341 to 792 of the family's 1533-position model. Lineage: Bacteria; Bacillati; Bacillota; Clostridia; Eubacteriales; Clostridiaceae. The record is from RNAcentral.
ACGGAAGGCAGCAGUGGGGAAUAUUGCACAAUGGGGGAAACCCUGAUGCAGCGACGCCGCGUGAGUGAAGAAGUAUUUCGGUAUGUAAAGCUCUAUCAGCAGGGAAGAAAAUGACGGUACCUGACUAAGAAGCCCCGGCUAACUACGUGCCAGCAGCCGCGGUAAUACGUAGGGAGCGAGCGUUAUCCGGAAUUACUGGGUGUAAAGGGAGUGUAGGCGGGACUGUAAGUCAGAUGUGAAAUAUGCCGGCUCAACUGGCAGACUGCAUUUGAAACUGCGGUUCUUGAGUGAAGUAGAGGUAAGCGGAAUUCCUAGUGUAGCGGUGAAAUGCGUAGAUAUUAGGAGGAACACCGGUGGCGAAGGCGGCUUUCUGGACAGUAACUGACGCUGAGGCGCGAAAGCGUGGGGAGCAAACAGGAUUAGAUACCCUGGUA